RNAcentral lists this ribosomal RNA (497 nucleotides) under uncultured bacterium. RNAcentral's name for it is "partial 16S ribosomal RNA". It matches the Rfam family "Bacterial small subunit ribosomal RNA", at positions 28 to 507 of the family's 1533-position model. The record is from RNAcentral.
GACGAACGCUGGCGGCGUGCCUAAUACAUGCAAGUUGAGCGCUGAAGGUUGGUACUUGUACCAACUGGAUGAGCAGCGAACGGGUGAGUAACGCGUGGGGAAUCUGCCUUUGAGCGGGGGACAACAUUUGGAAACGAAUGCUAAUACCGCAUAAAAACUUUAAACACAAGUUUUAAGUUUGAAAGAUGCAAUUGCAUCACUCAAAGAUGAUCCCGCGUUGUAUUAGCUAGUUGGUGAGGUAAAGGCUCACCAAGGCGAUGAUACAUAGCCGACCUGAGAGGGUGAUCGGCCACAUUGGGACUGAGACAAGGCCCAAACUCCUACGGGAGGCAGCAGUAGGGAAUCUUCGGCAAUGGACGAAAGUCUGACCGAGCAACGCCGCGGGAGUGAAGAAGGGUUUCGGAUCGUAAAACUCUGUUGGUAGAGAAGAACGUUGGUGAGAGUGGAAAGCUCAUCAAGUGACGGUAACUACCCAGAAAGGGACGGCUAACUACGUG